CCUACGGGUGGCAGCAGUGAGGAAUAUUGGUCAAUGGGCGCGAGCCUGAACCAGCCAAGUCGCGUGAGUGAAGACGGUCCUAUGGAUUGUAAACCUCUUUUGUCGGGGAGCAAAAGACGCCACGCGUGGCGUUCCGAGAGUACCCGAAGAAAAAGCAUCGGCUAACUCCGUGCCAGCAGCCGCGGUAAUACGGAGGAUGCGAGCGUUAUCCGGAUUUAUUGGGUUUAAAGGGUGCGCAGGCGGAAGAUCAAGUCAGCGGUAAAAUUGAGAGGCUCAACCUCUUCGAGCCGUUGAAACUGGUUUUCUUGAGUGAGUGAGAAGUAUGCGGAAUGCGUGGUGUAGCGGUGAAAUGCAUAGAUAUCACGAGGAACCCCGAUUGCGAAGGCAGCCUGCCGGGGUGCGACUGACGCUGAGGCUCGAAGGUGCGGGUAUCAAACAGGAUUAGAUACCCGAGUAGUC
This 459-nucleotide ribosomal RNA is filed under the name uncultured bacterium. RNAcentral describes it as "partial 16S ribosomal RNA". It matches the Rfam family "Bacterial small subunit ribosomal RNA", at positions 338 to 795 of the family's 1533-position model. The record is from RNAcentral.